ACGGGUGUAGCUCAAUUGGUAGAGUCGCGGUCUCCAAAACCGAAGGUUGGGGGUUCAAGUCCCUCCUCCCGUG
This 73-nucleotide transfer RNA is filed under the name Ignavibacteria bacterium. RNAcentral's name for it is "tRNA-Trp". It matches the Rfam family "tRNA". Rfam says of the family: Transfer RNA (tRNA) molecules are approximately 80 nucleotides in length. Their secondary structure includes four short double-helical elements and three loops (D, anti-codon, and T loops). Further hydrogen bonds mediate the characteristic L-shaped molecular structure. tRNAs have two regions of fundamental functional importance: the anti-codon, which is responsible for specific mRNA codon recognition, and the 3' end, to which the tRNAs corresponding amino acid is attached (by aminoacyl-tRNA synthetases). tRNAs cope with the degeneracy of the genetic code in two manners: having more than one tRNA (with a specific anti-codon) for a particular amino acid; and 'wobble' base-pairing, i.e. permitting non-standard base-pairing at the 3rd anti-codon position. Lineage: Bacteria; Pseudomonadati; Ignavibacteriota; Ignavibacteria. The record is from RNAcentral.